GGGAGAGAGAGCCCGGCCGCCGCGAUGGUCGCACCGGCGACGGUACGACCACCUCACGUGAGCCAUCCCCUCGGGAUGUGUCACGCUAUAACGUUGCCCGUCCCUCCGGGACGCGCAACGCUCGCGAGGAAAGUCCCCCCACCUGUUCGGGCAGGUGACCGGACGCAAGUCCGGAGCGGGAGACCGCUGGCUCUGGAACAGAAACGACACGUCUCGGCCCGACCGAUGACGCGUGCGAACCCGACCGAGAGGAAGGGGAGUUGACCCGCAGAGGGUUGCGCGGUCCUCCGGACCGCGAAACGUGAGGCGGCGCGAGCCGCCGAACCGGCGAGCGGCAACCGCCGCGAGCCGCGUGCGGUCGUCAAACCGUGGUUCGAAUCCGCGGGUCACGCUCGCCGUGAUCGACCGCACACGGACGGCCGAGGACCGAUGGAACGGCGAACCCUCACCGGUGCAAGUCCGCGCCGUGGUAGCCCGAACGCCCCGCGGCACCGCCGCGGACGGCGCGGACGCUCAGCCGAAUGCCGGGCCGAACAGAAGGGGGCUUACUCCUCUCACCC
RNAcentral lists this RNase P RNA (560 nucleotides) under Natrinema saccharevitans. RNAcentral describes it as "Haloterrigena saccharevitans RNase P RNA component". The stretch from base 73 to 560 matches the Rfam family "Archaeal RNase P". Rfam says of the family: Ribonuclease P (RNase P) is a ubiquitous endoribonuclease, found in archaea, bacteria and eukarya as well as chloroplasts and mitochondria. Its best characterised activity is the generation of mature 5'-ends of tRNAs by cleaving the 5'-leader elements of precursor-tRNAs. The record is from RNAcentral. Lineage: Archaea; Methanobacteriati; Methanobacteriota; Halobacteria; Halobacteriales; Natrialbaceae.